Molecule: ribosomal RNA, 467 nt
Filed under: uncultured bacterium
Lineage: Bacteria
Description: partial 16S ribosomal RNA
Rfam family: Bacterial small subunit ribosomal RNA
Source: RNAcentral
GACGAACGCUGGCGGCGUGCUUAACACAUGCAAGUCGAACGGAAAGGCCCUGCUUUUGUGGGGUGCUCGAGUGGCGAACGGGUGAGUAACACGUGAGUAACCUGCCCUUGACUUUGGGAUAACUUCAGGAAACUGGGGCUAAUACCGGAUAGGAGCUCCUGCUGCAUGGUGGGGGUUGGAAAGUUUCGGCGGUUGGGGAUGGACUCGCGGCUUAUCAGCUUGUUGGUGGGGUAGUGGCUUACCAAGGCUUUGACGGGUAGCCGGCCUGAGAGGGUGACCGGCCACAUGGGGACUGAGAUACGGCCCAGACUCCUACGGGAGGAAGCAGUGGGGAAUAUUGCACAAGGGGCGGAAGCCUGAUGCAGCAACGCCGCGUGCGGGAUGACGGCCUUCGGGUUGUAAACCGCUUUCGCCUGUGACGAAGCGUGAGUGACGGUAAUGGGUAAAGAAGCACCGGCUAACUACGU